AUUGAACGCUGGCGGCAGGCCUAACACAUGCAAGUCGAGCGGAGCGGCGGACGGGUGAGUAAGGCCUAUGAAUCUGCCUGGUAGUGGGGGAUAACGUCAGGAAACGGGCGCAAAUACCGAUUACUCUCAGAUGAGCCUAGGUCGGAUUAGCUAGUUGGUGGGGUAAAGGCCUACCAAGGCGACGAUCCGUAACUGGUCUGAGAGGAUGAUCAGUCACACUGGAACUGAGACACGGUCCAGACUCCUACGGGAGGCAGCAGUGGGGAAUAUUGGACAAUGGGCGAAAGCCUGAUCCAGCCAUGCCGCGUGUGUGAAGAAGGUCUUCGGGUUGUAAAGCACUUUAAGUUGGGAGGCGUUACCAGCAGAAUAAGCACCGGCUAACUUCGUGCCAGCAGCCGCGGUAAUAC
RNAcentral lists this ribosomal RNA (407 nucleotides) under uncultured bacterium. RNAcentral's name for it is "partial 16S ribosomal RNA". It matches the Rfam family "Bacterial small subunit ribosomal RNA", at positions 30 to 526 of the family's 1533-position model. The record is from RNAcentral.